This 791-nucleotide ribosomal RNA is filed under the name Clostridioides difficile. RNAcentral describes it as "partial 23S ribosomal RNA". It matches the Rfam family "Bacterial large subunit ribosomal RNA", at positions 1914 to 2703 of the family's 2925-position model. The record is from RNAcentral. Lineage: Bacteria; Bacillati; Bacillota; Clostridia; Peptostreptococcales; Peptostreptococcaceae.
UAAGCCCCAGUAAACGGCGGCCGUAACUAUAACGGUCCUAAGGUAGCGAAAUUCCUUGUCGGGUAAGUUCCGACCCGCACGAAAGGCGUAACGAUUUGGGCACUGUCUCAACAACAGACUCGGUGAAAUUGUAAUUCCGGUGAAGAUGCCGGAUACCUGCGACAGGACGGAAAGACCCCAUGGAGCUUUACUGUAGCUUGACAUUGGGUCUUGGUACUACAUGUACAGGAUAGGUGGGAGGCUUUGAAACCAGGACGCCAGUUUUGGCGGAGCCAUCCUUGGGAUACCACCCUUGUAGUACUGGGACUCUAACCAUAGGCCAUGAAUCUGGUCUUGGGACACUGUCAGGUGGGCAGUUUGACUGGGGCGGUCGCCUCCCAAAAGGUAACGGAGGCGCUCAAAGGUUCUCUCAGUACGGUCGGAAAUCGUACGUAGAGUGUAAAGGCAAAAGAGAGCUUGAUUGCAAGACAUACAGGUCGAGCAAGGAUGAAAAUCGGACUUAGUGAUCCGGUGGUUCUGCGUGGAAGGGCCAUCGCUCAACGGAUAAAAGCUACCCUGGGGAUAACAGGCUUAUCUCCCCCAAGAGUCCACAUCGACGGGGAGGUUUGGCACCUCGAUGUCGGCUCAUCACAUCCUGGGGCUGUAGUAGGUCCCAAGGGUUGGGCUGUUCGCCCAUUAAAGUGGUACGCGAGCUGGGUUCAGAACGUCGUGAGACAGUUCGGUCCCUAUCCGUCGCAGGCGUAGGAAAUUUGAGAAGACCUGUCCUUAGUACGAGAGGACCGGGAUGGACG